UCGAACGAAGCACUUGAGAAUGAUUCUUCGGAUGAAGUCUUUUGUGACUUAGUGGCGGACGGGUGAGUAACGCGUGGGUAACCUGCCUCACACAGGGGGAUAACAGUUGGAAACGACCGCUAAUACCGCAUAACCCGCUGGUAUCGCAUGAUACUGACGGAAAAGAUUUUAUCGGUGUGAGAUGGACCCGCGUCUGAUUAGCCAGUUGGCAGGGUAACGGCCUACCAAAGCGACGAUCAGUAGCCGGCCUGAGAGGGUGAACGGCCACAUUGGGACUGAGACACGGCCCAAACUCCUACGGGAGGCAGCAGUGGGGAAUAUUGCACAAUGGGGGAAACCCUGAUGCAGCGACGCCGCGUGAGUGAAGAAGUAUUUCGGUAUGUAAAGCUCUAUCAGCAGGGAAGAAAAUGACGGUACCUGACCAAGAAGCCCCGGCUAACUACGUGCCAGCAGCCGCGGUAAUACGUAGGGGGCAAGCGUUAUCCGGAUUUACUGGGUGUAAAGGGAGCGUAGACGGCUGAGCAAGUCAGAAGUGAAAGCCCGGGGCUCAACCCCGGGACUGCUUUUGAAACUGCGGAGCUGGAGUGCAGGAGAGGUAAGCGGAAUUCCUGGUGUAGCGGUGAAAUGCGUAGAUAUCAGGAGGAACACCAGUGGCGAAGGCGGCUUACUGGACUGUAACUGACGUUGA
This 688-nucleotide ribosomal RNA is filed under the name uncultured bacterium. RNAcentral's name for it is "bacterial SSU rRNA". It matches the Rfam family "Bacterial small subunit ribosomal RNA", at positions 62 to 749 of the family's 1533-position model. The record is from RNAcentral.